This is a non-coding RNA of Pelobates cultripes (western spadefoot toad), 190 nucleotides long. The record is from the annotation of a GenBank genome assembly. NCBI's taxonomy places the organism in Eukaryota, Metazoa, Chordata, Amphibia, Anura, Pelobatidae.
GGUCUUAGAAAAAAGUUUAUUAAAUCACAUUAAAAACAAUGACCAAUGUUUCAGUCCCCGCUCAGGACUUUCCUCAGGGUCAAGGACAACGGUUGUUCUGUUUUUCCUUGACCCUGAGGAAAGUCCCGAGUGGGGACUGAAACGUUGGUCAUUGUUUUUACUGUGAUUUAAUAAACUUUUUUCUAAGACC